This 2332-nucleotide long non-coding RNA is filed under the name Homo sapiens (human). RNAcentral describes it as "non-protein coding lnc-ABCC10-2:1". The record is from RNAcentral. Lineage: Eukaryota; Metazoa; Chordata; Mammalia; Primates; Hominidae.
CGAGAGGCGGCCUCGAGCACGGAGGGGACGCGGGGGCCGGAGGGAAGGACGGUUCCCGGCAGCGAGCAGUCUCCGCCCCACAGCUCCGACAGCCCCCCCCCCCGCCACCACCACUCUCUCCCACGUCCCCUUUCUAUCUCCGCCGCGCUGGGUUCGGCGGCGGCGCGGGGCCUGGAAUCCCCACCGCGCCCUGUCCCCGCAGUCCUCACCUCCGGCGGGGAGGUGGCGCGCCCCGGGGCGCAGAGAGAGGCCGGAUCCGACGGGCGCCGCCGAGGGGCCGUGAGGGAGCGCGGGGCCGCCCCUAGCUGGCCGCGGGGCCGGGCGCCGAAGCGGCUGCCAUGCGAGCCGAGCGCUCGGGAAUCUGGGGCUCCAGGCGACCCCGAGCGGCGGCAGCGGCUGCUCCUCGCGCGCGCUCAGGCCCCCUGCCAGGGGCGGAGCCCGCCCCCACCCCCAUCCCCCCCCCCGCGACGCACGGCGCACACCUAGCACCCGGCGCGCCCCGGGGCCCCGGCCCUCCGCGGCUACCCAACGCCCCGAACCCAGCUUCCUUCCAAGAGAGGAGGAAAUCUUAGGAGUCUCAAUGGGAGCAAACUAUUAAGCCAAAGGAGCGCAACCCCGUUAUUCUCUCAUCUCCCAUGCCCACUUUCCCGACCAGCGCUCCGCGGCCCACGCCCCAGCCCUGCCUUCGCUUGUCCGCCGCUCAUCACGCUUCUCAUAUAGAUCUAUGCACACGCAGGCAAUCGCUCCCCGCCCUCCGCCUGUCACCAGCCCACGCCUCCCCGCUUGUAAAGCCUUCAUCACCUGCUUCAUCUGUGUGCUCCUCUGCUCCUCCUCGCCCUCCGCUUCUUCCUGUCCACGUUGCCGUCUCCAGCCUUCCAAGAUCAACCUAUCCCUAUAUAAAUAUCAACCCGAUCCACCCAACCACACCCCGGCCCUACCCCCACCACCCUUCCCUCCCUCAAGUCUCAGCCCUUCCACCCCAUUCCUUUUUGUGACUGCCUCUGAGAAUCCUUUCUGGACUGGGAAUGCCCCUGACUCUGUAAAUGUGCACACAAAACCCCCUCCACCGCCAAGUCUUCUCCUGUACCCCAUCACGUUCGUCCUUGGCCUCAGGCUAAACCUCAACUGCCCAAACCUGGAGCUCAGAUUCAGAGAGUAACGGAGGGGGAGUGGGGGAAAGCUGCCCUCCAGGCCUCUUUGCCCCCUUCUGGCUAAUGGCUCAGAGACACAUUUCAAGACAAGGACCCAGCCAAGCUCGGUGGGCUCACGCCUAUAAUUCCAGCACUUUGGGAGGCUGAGGCGGGCGGAUCACCUGAGGUCAGGAGUUCGAGACCAGCCUGGCCAACAUGGUGAAACCCGUCUCUAUUAAAAAUACAGAAAUUAGCCAGGCGUGGUGGUGCGCGCCUGUAAUCCCAGCUACUCGGAAGGCUGAGGCAGGAAAAUCGCUUGAAAACCCGGGAGGCAGACGUUGCAGUUAGCCAAGAUCGCGCCACUGCACUCCAGCUUGGGGGACAGAGCAAAACUCCGACCCCCGCCCCCCCCCAAAAAAAGACAAGGACCCAGAACAUAAUUUCUAGUUUGUGCAGGACAACAGGGCAGAGGUCAGGAACGCUAGCGCCCAUCUCUAGUCCUUCAGAUUGAGAUUUCACCAUCUUUAAAUUCAAAACAUCGGAAGGAGCAGUCGCUAGUCGGGGCAGAGCAGCUUCCCACCUUCACACAGCCACCUCCACAGGCACAGAGCCCCAGGGCUCAUUUUUCCUGCAGUCUCCAUUGGAUAUAACACUUACACCCACUCAGCUCCCUAGCUGGCCUCCUCUCAGCUGUGAUCGCCUCUUCCCUGAAGAGCUCUCUGAAUUUGAGUAAUGACAUGGCUGUACCAUUCAUUUUGUUUAAACACAUUUUUUUUUUUGGUGAAAAAUUGCAAACAACCUAUAAUUCAAAAAUUACUGUAGGCAAAUAAAUUAUGGCACAUCAACACUAUGUGACUGUUAAAAAUACUUUUUUUUUUUUUUGACGUCUAAAGAUGUCCAAAAAAGCUAAGAAUAUGUAAAGUGCGGUGGGGGGAAGCCGGAAACAAAGAAGAACGUACUUUGACAUUGGCAGUGCUUUUCUCUGGAUGAUCGAAUUAUAGAGGUUUUUUUUUUUUUCUUAUUAAUACUUUUCAGCAUUAACACUUUUUUUUUUUUUUUUUUUUUUUUUUUUGAGACGGAGUCUCGCUUUGUGGCCCAAGCUGGAGUGCAGUGGCGCUAUCUCGGCUCUCUGCAAGCUCCGCCUCCCAGGUUCACGCCAUUCUCCUGCCUCAACGUCCCAAGUAGCUGGGACUACAGGCGCC